Molecule: long non-coding RNA, 422 nt
Filed under: Bos taurus (domestic cattle)
Lineage: Eukaryota; Metazoa; Chordata; Mammalia; Artiodactyla; Bovidae
Description: long non-coding RNA NONBTAT020560
Source: RNAcentral
GCCUUUUCUUUCUUAGUACUGGAAACAUGUACUCUGGGAAAACUGUGAUCACUAGGAUGAAAAUAUCAAAUAAAAAGUCACUUGAUCCCCAAAUCUCAACUUUAUAAAAAGUUAUUUUCAAAAAUAUCAUGUUGAUGAUGAGCAAAUGAUAAAUGUAAUUUUUAUUUACAGUCUAUUUUAUGUUCUUCUUCUUGACACAAUGUGCCAGCCUAGAAAAACAAUGUCAGAAAAGAAAGACAUGGCCUUCACUGGUUUCAGAGUGUACUCAAGUCACGUUAAAACUCCUUUUAUCUUAAAAUAGAACCAAUUGUGCAAUGUUUUCAUAUCCUAAGACCUCUUAAUAUCUGACAUUUCUAUAGCUGUUGUAUAACUGCCACUAAUUUUGGAAACUUGGUUAAAUCACUUAACUUGUGGGCCUUACA